This is a long non-coding RNA of Pan paniscus (pygmy chimpanzee), 1351 nucleotides long. NCBI's taxonomy places the organism in Eukaryota, Metazoa, Chordata, Mammalia, Primates, Hominidae. The record is from Ensembl.
AUAACACUAACCUUGCCACGCACUAAAGAUUGGAAGAAUAAAUCAGCCAGCCUGUAAUUAUAUUGGGAGAGCCAGCUUUAUUCUUUAGUGAGCAGAUUGAUGUAUCUGUUUAGACUGGUUGCCCUUAGGGCUCUCUGGGAACCUGGUCUGACUUUCUAGUGCCCAGGCAGGCACUGCCCCAGAUCACUGCGUAUAUAGGUGAGUUACCGCUGUGCAGGUCUGUCAGGACCAAACUGGUUUCCAAACCUGGCUGGCUUCUCCGCAAGGUGCAUAGCUGUCAAAAGUGAAACAAAGCGAAGGGCUUGGGAUGCCAGAAAGACAAAAGCUCAUCCAUCAGGCUCAGCAGGAAAGGCAGGGGAGGCAGCGGCGGGAAGCCUUCCUUAGCUGUGUGAUCCUAGAUGGCUGGUAACUUAGCAUUUGAGGACUGUCUCAGAUAGACACAAUUGGACCAGGCUUAAAAGUAAGCAUGACGGAGAACAAGAGAGAAGGCGUGCCCUGGCAACCAUUGCCAGGAAACAGAUUUCACUGAAGUCAUAAAUUAGAAAGAUAACCCACUUACCGGAGGUGAAAGGGACCCAUCAUAGGCCUGCAGUGAUUCUGAUGACUCACAGGAAAGCAGUCCAGCUUGUUUGGCCAGUUCUUGGGUUAUUGGACAGUCAUUAAUAGCUUUGGAGCUACUGAAGUCUCCUCUGGUGCCCUGAAGCUUCAUUACUUCCAUGAAAUUCAGAGAGAGAGUGACAAUCUUGCAGUGAAGAAUAAUUCAAUGGAAAUUCAUAGCUUUGUCCCCAACCACCAACAACCAGGAAGCACAAAUGCUCAGACAUUAGCUGUGACUUCUACCCAAAGGCAAGGUAAAAUAUCAUUGCCAAGGAUUACAUUCAAAUGACCUCUAAUGUGGUUUUCUGAUGGAGGGAAGAACUGAAGACAACACUAGUUCAUCAGAAAAUGCUGAGUGGAGAAUCGCAGAGGUAGGGAGAAGAGAGAGCUGUGCAUCUUAAGGCAAGAUGACAGGCUCGGAAGUCAACAGCCUCAAGCAGAAGCAUGCAGGGUUCUGGGAUGAGAAACAUGACUCAGCAUUUAUCCUUUCCUAUAAAACAUAGCAGCGUGUUAAGGCUGCAUUUGAAAUUUUACACUAAGGCCAGUGAUAAUAUCUAAAUUACGGUCAUGACAUGCAUAACUUGAUAUCAGGUAGACUAGAAAUUUUUCCUAAAAUUAGAGAAGUUACAACCAAACCCAAACCUAUCAUUUCUGUAUCCAAUGACAGUCACAAAAGUAUGAAUAUCUAUGAGGAAUUAUAAUAAAUCUAAAAUUUCUCUGGCCAGUCCUAUUUCUUUUAGAAUGUCAAGCAGCA